GAUGAACGCUGGCGGCGUGCCUAACACAUGCAAGUCGAACGAAGCGCCUUUUAAGAUUCUUCGGAUGAUUGAUUGGUGACUGAGUGGCGGACGGGUGAGUAACGCGUGGGUAACCUGCCCUGUACAGGGGGAUAACAGUUGGAAACGGCUGCUAAUACCGCAUAAGCGCACGAGAGGACAUCCUCUUGUGUGGAAAACUCCGGUGGUACAGGAUGGGCCCGCGUCUGAUUAGCUGGUUGGCAGGGUAACGGCCUACCAAGGCGACGAUCAGUAGCCGGUCUGAGAGGAUGAACGGCCACAUUGGAACUGAGACACGGUCCAAACUCCUACGGGAGGCAGCAGUGGGGAAUAUUGCACAAUGGGGGAAACCCUGAUGCAGCAACGCCGCGUGAGUGAAGAAGUAUUUCGGUAUGUAAAGCUCUAUCAGCAGGGAAGAAAAUGACGGUACCUGACUAAGAAGCACCGGCUAAAUACGUGCCAGCCGCCGCCGUAA
This 493-nucleotide ribosomal RNA is filed under the name uncultured bacterium. RNAcentral's name for it is "partial 16S ribosomal RNA". It matches the Rfam family "Bacterial small subunit ribosomal RNA", at positions 28 to 523 of the family's 1533-position model. The record is from RNAcentral.